GCUACCUUAGCUCAGCAGGCAGAGCAGUUGCUUUGUAAGCAUCAGGUCGUUGGUUCGAUCCCAACAGGUAGCUCCA
Molecule: transfer RNA, 76 nt
Filed under: Nitrososphaerales archaeon
Lineage: Archaea; Thermoproteati; Nitrososphaerota; Nitrososphaeria; Nitrososphaerales
Description: tRNA-Thr
Rfam family: tRNA
About the family: Transfer RNA (tRNA) molecules are approximately 80 nucleotides in length. Their secondary structure includes four short double-helical elements and three loops (D, anti-codon, and T loops). Further hydrogen bonds mediate the characteristic L-shaped molecular structure. tRNAs have two regions of fundamental functional importance: the anti-codon, which is responsible for specific mRNA codon recognition, and the 3' end, to which the tRNAs corresponding amino acid is attached (by aminoacyl-tRNA synthetases). tRNAs cope with the degeneracy of the genetic code in two manners: having more than one tRNA (with a specific anti-codon) for a particular amino acid; and 'wobble' base-pairing, i.e. permitting non-standard base-pairing at the 3rd anti-codon position.
Source: RNAcentral